AUGUCCUUUCGAAAGCCACCUCCUCCCACAAACUCCCCUGAUCCCCCUAAAUCAGCCUUAUCAACCGGCUGCUCUCACAUAACUCUGUUCUAUCUUCCUCAGAGCAUCGGGACCCUCAUCACGUUAUUCGUUCAUUCAUUUACUCUCUCUGUCCUCUAUGACCCUUUGUUCACAGGCGUUACUCUAAAAUGUACCCAGGACUCUGGUUUCACUCAGCGAAGGGGAGGUCAACAGGUCAGCAGGCCACCACAGCUGAAGGCACCACUUUCUUGCAGGUGAAGCUGACAGUCAUCCUCUUUAUUAUUUUUCAACUGACAUAGACUUUGAGUGAGAAAGCAUCAAAGCAGUACCUCCAAGACCAUCAAUGGUGAAGGCAAAAUUAAGCAUGAAAAACUUUUUUUUUUAAGCAUGAAAAACUUGAAAACAAAAAACAAACAAAAACCUCUUCCUAGAUUCUGUUGCCAGUUAAAGUCCAUGAUGAAUGUAAGUUUUUUCUAUCUUAAAAUUUUUCUAGCCCCUAUGAUACAUUCCACCAGAGAAAUACAUAAUUUAAGCUGUUC
This 560-nucleotide long non-coding RNA is filed under the name Vulpes vulpes (red fox). RNAcentral's name for it is "lncRNA (ENSVVUG00000009066.1)". The record is from RNAcentral. Lineage: Eukaryota; Metazoa; Chordata; Mammalia; Carnivora; Canidae.